RNAcentral lists this long non-coding RNA (27568 nucleotides) under Triticum aestivum (bread wheat). RNAcentral's name for it is "long non-coding RNA (TAES_LNC017675)". Lineage: Eukaryota; Viridiplantae; Streptophyta; Magnoliopsida; Poales; Poaceae. The record is from RNAcentral.
CCCUGUUUUCGUCUUGGAUACGUACAUGCUUCCGUGUAAUAUUGAUUGAAUAAUACUAGAUCUGCAUCUAUGCAUGUAUGAUGCAUAUGUGAGUGCUACCUCUAGGAAGUACAUGAACAUCAUGUAAUCCGAACAAAGUUUCAACAGGGAACCAGUUCAAGUUGAAUAACCCAAGACCCCAGAAUUGGAGCUGCUACUGUUUUGGCGGUUGAAACGAAUAUAAGCUUAAAAACUAUAGAACAAAUGAGACAUGAAGCUUUACUAGAAGUCUAGAAGGGAAGUCAUAAUUCGUAAGAAAGUGGGAGCAGACAUAGCACGACAGCUGAAGAUUUGGCCACCACGAACAUAAAAUUGGGUGCCUUCUCCUCCACCAUCUUGAGCUCUUCGGCCGCCACCUUUCUUUCCUUGGCCGCCGCCCUCCGCCGCUCGGCUUCCCUCCUCUCUUCCAUUUAUUUUGACUUCAACUUUUUUUCUUCGGCAUAGUCUUUCCUUGCAGUGACAAUGGCGUCAAACCCUUAUUUAAGAUCAUUGUCUCCAGCCUUCGAACCCUUUGUUUUCUUAUUUCCAUCCAGCCUAUAUGACUUGGUCGCCGAGUGAGGAGUGGGGCUCCUUCUCUCCUUACCACAGACAUCAUCAUCAAUCCUCACGAUCAACAACCACACUUUUCUUCUUCGAAGCAUCAUAAACUUCUCAAGUCUUUCACUUCUUCUCAUCCUUGAGCUCCUUGUAGCAAUUGAUGAAAAGUGAAGGCUUUUCCUUUCUUUUUCCUCUUCUCUCCUUUGUUGUUUCUUUCUUGAAACAAUCCUUGCGCAGUCAUUUUCUACAACGAAACAACAAAAGCGACAUCAUCAAUUUAGGAACAUAUGCAGACUUGGGCAAUGUAGAGAAAACAAACACAAGUAGCAAGCAAUUACCAUGUCACUAUCACCGCAACCACUAGAGUUGAUGCAACCAACAUUUGUUAAGCAACCCGUCCACUUUUGGCAUUCGGCAUUGACGGUGCCCCAACGUUGACGAAUAAAAUCCCUUGAUCUAUAGUGUCCACUAGUAUUGCACUCAUCAAAAUAUUCCUUGAUGCAGUCCCAAUAGGUGUUCGCGGCUGGGUCACUCCCCACGGAUGCAUCAAUGGAGAUUCGCUUCCACGCAGUGCAAAUCAAGCCAUCUUCGGCGUUGGUAUAAUUUGUGCUUCUUCCCUUGAAAAUAAAGCCCUCAUUGUCCAUGUCGAGAUUAUCAUCAUCAAAUUGAGUAUCACAUUCUUGUGAUGCAUACUCUUGAGAGAAAUAAUCUUCGUUUACGCCAUUUGUCACGUGCAUGAAUGCUUCAUCAUCAAGACUACAAGUGGACGUACACACAAUCUCACAUUCUACUCGUACCAGAAAUGAAAAUAACAUACAAAAAGAAAAAAAAAUACCUUUGCAAAUUUCGUCGAGCACAUUGGAGGCGGUGUCGCGGGCGUGGCCGAGUCUUCCUCCAUGGGCGGCGGCGGGGCUUGCGGUGGUGGAGGAGGCCCAUGUUCGGUGGCAGUUGCCGCGGCCGCCAGCGGCAUCGAAUCGGCCGAAGCAGCCGCAGUCGCCUUUUUCAUCUUCACCACUCGAGAUUGAGUCGUGGCGGGGUUGCACACCGUCGGCCGCUUCGCGCCUCCACCAUGGGGUUUAGCCGCCGGCUGCUUCAUCACCGGCGGCGCACCUGUUCCUGCCGCAGCGACCGACCGAGGUGAGGCGAAACCGGGGCAACGGGAUGGGGCGGCAUGGCGGCGGAGGCGGGGUCGGUGAAGGUGAUUGCGCAAGCGGCAGCCGUGACGAGGUGGGUCAGACCAGCGGAGGUUGCGGCUGGGAGGGGGGGUCAUCGGUGUCGGCCAUGGGGCUAAGCGGCAGCUUGCGACCAGCGGUCGGGAGACGGGCGGGCGGCUGAAAGUUUCAGAUUCGGCGGUUGGCUGUUCACGCGCGGCUGGGCGUUUUACAUCACCAGGCGGCUGGAGAUGCAAAUUUGGAUCUCCAAGUGUUAUAUUUUACAUAACUUGGGGUAGGUGAUGUAAAAAUUUAUACAUCAGCAUCAUCUGUUAGAGCAGCGUUUUUCUUUUUGGCCUUGAAGAUGUAAAAAGCUGUUAUUUAUAUACCUACAUCAUCUAUUGGAGAUGCUCUCACAUCAUAAGACCAUAAGAGCUCAUAGGCCUGAUAGGUUAAAAUAUUAUGAUUAUACAUUAUUUAGACUUGCUAAAUGGAGCAAAAAAGUUACCCCUUUGUAAACUAAUAUAAGAGCGUUUAGAUCACUAAAGUAGUAAUCUAAACGCUCUUAUAUUAAUUUACGGAGGGAGUAGUUCAUACAUUGAACAGAGCAGCAAAAUAUAUCAGCAACGUAAAUAACAUGCAACAUCGGACUGAAAUCUAUAGAAAAUAAAAUGAUACUAAAACAGCGACAAUUAAUAUGAAUCCAAGGUAGUAGUAUUUUUUGAUUUUUUUGCCAGCCCUCCCACUUUUCAUUUUUCACAUGUCAGUCGCACCAACGUAAAUUUACGCACACACAAACAAAAAAGGUUGUACUAUCUCUGUUUCUUGCGGGUACUCAGUUAUUACACUACCCACUCAGUUAUACUACCCUACAAAAAUACGUUCGCUUAGCCUGGAAGCAAGGAAGAUAUAUGCGUGCACUGCAAGUAUAUAAGCAAGCCCCCCUCCCUCCUCUACAUUCAUCCAUCAUACAAUCCAUCUUGAAGGUCUUAAUCUGUCAUAGAACCCUCUCGAUCUUUCACAAGAAAACUAAAUGGAUCGGUCCAUGAAGGUCUUUGUGGUCGUCUUCCUGCUCCUUGUGGCCACAGGUGUGUAUGCUGUACUUACUGUUUAAGAUAACUGAUAAUACUGCUAAAUUAUGUACCGAAACGUCGUAUAUUUUGGAACGGAGGUAGUAUGUGAGAUGGCUGAUUUGCUCUAUCAAUUUGCCCGUGUAGGGUUCCAGGGACCGGUGCAAGUAGCUUUGGCGAGGGAUUGUACUUCACAGAGCCACGAGUUUGUGGGGAUGUGCCUGAGUGACCGCAACUGUGCAAGUGUUUGCCAGACCGAGUAUUUCACCGGAGGCAAGUGCGACCACCGACGUUGUGUCUGCACCAAGGACUGCUAGAUGGCCCCUGUAAUCUUCUUGCACACAUGGUUCCGUGUAAUAAUAAUAAUAAUAAUAACUGAAUAAUAAUACUAGAUCUGCAUCUAUGCAUGUAUGAUGCAUAUGUGAGUGCUACUCCUAGAAAGUACAUGAACAUCAUAUAAUCCGAACAAAGUUUCAGCAGGGAACCAGUUCAAGUUGAAUAAUCCAACACUCCGGAACUGGAGCGGCUACCGUUCUCGGGACUGAAACGAAUAUAAGCUUAAAAACUGGAACAAAUGAGACAUGAAAUGUUACUAGAACUCUAGAAGUCUAGAAGGGAAGUCAUAUUUCGUAAGGAAGAAAGAAAAGUAAAUCGUGGGAGUAGACAUAGCACCACACCUGAAGAUUUGGCCAAGACUUGGUGAAGAACCAAAAGUACCUAAGAAUCUACACAGAUUACAAGAAUCGAACUUGCAGGAGUAACUUUUGCAGAAUUGCUGCUAUGUAUACAGAAGUAUUGUGGAGAUAAGAGAUCUAAGAAUCUAAUUCAACAAUCUACAUAUUUUAGACCAAUUCAAUUUUUUUCAAAAAGAGGGGACAUCCCUCGGCCUCUGCAUCAUACAACCUUUUAUUUAUCAUAUCAAAGUUCAUCAUCCAACCAUAACAAAGUUCAACUAAUAAAGUGUCGCAUAUGACUGCGCGAAGGGUAAAUAAAAUAGUAAAAAAAUCAUAGGAAAAUGGGCCUCAUGCAUCACAAAUCCUACUAGUAGGCCGCCAACCAAAUCGGUUGAACAAAUCCCGAGAGACCAUCUCCCAUCGGUUGCACCCAAAGACCGUGGGCACCCGAUCCUCCUCCUUGCAAUGUAAUGACCACGUAUGGAUCCAGCUGUAGCCUUGAAGAUAACCUGUAAAAAAUUCGGAACUUUCGUUCUGUUAAAAAUACAAUCAUUACAAGUGUUCCAAAUGGCCUAAAGUAAAGCACAAAUUCCCACACGGAUCUGAGACUUAAACUUGGGGUGCACCCCUACUAACCAGUUUCCAAACAUAUCCGUACUACUCGUAGGUGUAGGUAGGUUGAAAGCUAUAUGGGCCGUUCCCCAUAGUAGCUUGGCAAGUGGGCAUUGAAGAAAUAGAUGCUGAAUCGACUCCUCAUUGCCACAAAAGCAACACUUAGUGCAUCCUUGCCAAUCUCUUUUUUUCAGAUUAUCUUUUGUCAGGAUGACCUUGCGAUCCAAAUACCACAUGAAGAUUUUUAUUUUCAGUGGGACUUUAAUUUUCCAUAUAUACUUGCGGUGAAAAGGUUGUCCUCAUUGAUGAGGUCUGUAUGCAUGGAUUUGACUGUGAAGUCACCAGAAGUAGUUAACUUCCAACGGAAUGUGUCUGCUUCGUGUGAAACGUUAACCAUCAUCAACAUGCCAACAAGGUCUAACCAGUCUGUCCAUUUGUCCCCAGUCAGUUGUAUUCUAAAGGCAACAUUCAACGGUAUGUGGUCCAUCACAGAGACAACGGAGACAUCUUUCCGCUGCACAAUAUGAUAGAGACGGGGGUAUUGCAUGGCUAGUGGCAAUGUCCCCUAGCCAUGUAUCUUCCCAGAACCUUGUAGUUAGACCAUUUCCUACAAUGAACGUCCCUCUGCGAAAAAAAUCAUUUUUAACUCCCAUGAGUCCUUUCCAGAAAGGCGAGUCUGUUGGUUUUGCCUGAACCUCAGAGAGGGUUUUUGAAUGAAGGUACUUAUUCCUAAGUAAUUCUUGCCAAACCCCAUCCUCGGUAAGUAUCUUGUAAAGCCAUUUGCUCAACAAACACUUAUUUUUAGUCUCAAGGUCUUCCACCCCUAGACCUCCUUGGUCUUUAGGGCGACAGAUCACAUCCCACCUUGCCAGGCGGUAUUUACGCUUAUGUUCAUCAGACUGCCAGAAAAACCUGGAUCUGUAGUAAUCCAAUCUUUCUCUUACCCCUUUAGGUAUUUGAAAGAAAGAUAACAUGAACAUAGGUAAGCUUGUGAGAACGGCAUUGAUUAAGGUGAGCCUUGCCCCAUAAGACAUAAGCUUACCAAUCCAACAACUCAACUUUUUCUCAAAUCGAUCCUCAAUACCUUUCCAUUCCUUAUUAAGAAGUUUACGGAAAUGGAUUGGGAUACCAAGGUAUCUAAAGGGAAAAGAGACUGACUCACAACCAAAAGUUGUUUGUAUUGAUCCUCUUCUUCUUUGGCUUGUCCAAAGCACAAGAGUUCGCUCUUGUGGAAGUUAAUUUUGAGACCAGAUAACUGCUCGAAUAAACAAACAAUAAUUUUCAUAUUCUUUGCAUUUUCAAUGUCAUGUUCCAUGAAUAUGAUGGUGUCAUCGGCAUACUGAAGUACCGAUACCCCACCGUCCACAAGAUGAGGAAUUAAGCCCGCAACAUGACCUCCUUCCUUGGCUCGGCUAAUGAGAACCGCUAGAAGGUCUGCCACAAUGUUGAAAAGAAUAGGCGACAUAGGGCAUCCCUGUCGCAAACCCUUUUGUGUCUGGAAAUAGUGACCAAUGUCAUUAUUUACAUUGACACCUACGCCGCCCCCUUUCACAAAUGUGUUAAUCCAUUGGCACCAUUUUCUCGGGAAGCCUUUCAUGCGCAUACAUUGUUGCAAGAAUGGUCAUUUAACUUUGUCAUAGGCUUUUUCAAAAUCCACUUUGAAGACAACUCCAUCAAGUUUCUUCGAGUGUAACUCGUGAAUCGUUUCAUGCAAGACAACAACCCCCUCCAGGAUGUGUCUGAAGGAAAUAUGCCCUAGAGGCAAUAAUAAAGUUAUUAUUUAUUUCCUUAUUUCAUGAUAAAUGUUUAUUAUUCAUGCUAGAAUUGUAAUAACCGGAAACAUAAUACAUGUGUGAAUACAUAGACAAACAUAGUGUCACUAGUAUGCCUCUACUUGACUAGCUCGUUGAUCAAAGAUGGUUGAGUUUCCUAGCCAUAGACAUGAGUUGUCAUUUGAUUAACGGGAUCACAUCAUUAGGAAUGACGUGAUUGACUUGACCCAUUUCGUUAGCUUAGCACUUGAUCGUUUAGUUUACUGCUAUUGCUUUCUCCAUGACUUAUACAUGUUCCUAUGACUAUGAGACUGUCCAACUCCCGAAUACCAGAGGAACACUUUGUGUGCUACCAAACGUCACAAGGUAACUAGGUGAUUAUAAAGGUGCUCUACAGGUGUCUCCGAUGAUGUUCGUUGAGUUGGCAUAGAUCGAGAAUAGGAUUUGUCACUCCGAUUGUCGGAGAGGUAUCUCUGGGCCCUCUCGGUAAUGCACAUCACUAUAAGCCUUGCAAGCAAUGUGACUAAUGAGAUAGUUGCGGGAUGAUGCAUUACGGAAUGAGUAAAGAGACUUGCCGGUAACGAGAUUGAGCUAGGUAUUGAGAUACUGACGAUCGAAUCUCGGGCAAGUAACAUACCGAUGACAAAGGGAACAACGUAUGUUGUUAUGCGGUUUGACUGAUAAAGAUCUUCGUAGAAUAUGUAGGAACCAAUAUGAGCAUCCAGGUUCUGCUAUUGGUUAUUGACCGGAGACGUGUCUCGGUCAUGUCUACAUAGUUCUUGAACCCGUAGGGUCCGCACGCUUAACGUUCGGUGACGAUCGGUAUUAUGAGUUUAUGUGUUUUGAUGUACCGAAGGUAGUUCGGAGUCCCAGAUGAGAUCGGGGACAUGACGAGGAGUCUCGAAAUGGUCGAGACAUAAAGAUCGAUAUAUUGGACGACUAUAUUCGGACAUCGGAAAGGUUCCGAGUGGUUUGGGUAUUUAUCGGGGUACCGGAGAGUUACGGGAAUUCGCCGGGGAGUAUAUGGGCCUUAUUGGGCUUUAGGGGAAAGAGAGAAGGGAGGUUGCGCGCCCCCCAAGGCCUAGUCCAAAUUGGACUAGGGGGAGGGGCGGCGCCCCCUCCUUCCUUCUCUUCUCUUUUCCCUUUCCUUCUCUCCUACUCCUACUACAUGGAAGGGGGGAAUCCUACUCCCGGUGGGAGUAGGACUCCUCCAGGGCGCGCCAUAGCUAGGCCGGCCCUUCCCCCUCCUCCACUCCUUUAUAUACGUGGCCAGGGGGCACCCCAUAGACACACAGGUUGAUCAUUGAUCUCUCUUAGUCGUGUGCGGUGCCCCCCUCCACCAUAAUCCACCUCGGUCAUAUCGUAGCGGUGCUUAGGCGAAGCCCUGCGUCGGUAGCUUCAUCAACACCGUCACCAAGCCGUCGUGCUGAUGAAGCUCUCCCCCGAAGCUCUACUGGAUCGUGAGUUCGCGGGACGUCACCGAGCUGAAGUGUGCUGAACGCGGAGGUGUCGUACAUUCGGUACUGAGGAUCGGUCGAUCGUGAAGACGUACGACUACAUCAACCGCGUUGUCAUAACGCUUCCGCUUACGGUUUACGAUGGUACGUAGACGACACUCUCCCCUCUCGUUGCUAUGCAUCACCAUGAUCUUGCGUGUACAUAGGAAUUUUUUUGAAAUUACUACGUUCCCCAACAGUGGCAUCCGAGCCAGGUUUAUGCGUAGAUGUUAUAUGCACGAAUAGAACACAAGUGAGUUGUGGGCGAUACAAGUCAUAUUACUUACCAGCAUGUCAUACUUUGGUUCGGCGGUAUUGUUGGAUGAAGCGGCCCGGGCCGACAUUACGCGUACGCUUACGCGAGACUGGUUCUACUGACGUGCUUCGCACACAGGUGGCUGGCGGGUGUCCGUUUCUCCAACUUUAGUUGAAUCGAGUGUGGCUACGCCCGGUCCUUGUGAAGGUUAAAACAACACUAACUUGACGAAAUAUCGUUGUGGUUUUGAUGCGUAUGUAAGAACGGUUCUUGCUCAGCCCGUAGCAGCCACGUAAAACUUGCAACAAUAAAGUAGAGGACGUCUAACUUGUUUUUGCAGGGCAUGCUGUGAUGUGAUAUGGUCAAGACAUGAUGCUAAAUUUUAUUGUAUAAGAUGAUCAUGUUUUGUAACCGAGUUAUCGGCAACUGGCAGGAGCCAUAUGGUUGUCGCUUUAUUGUAUGAAAUGCAAUCGCCAUGUAAUUGCUUUACUUUAUCACUAAGCGGUAGCGAUAGUCGUAGAAGCAAUAGUUGAUGAGACGACAACGAUGCUACGAUGGAGAUCAAGGUGUCGCGCCGGUGACAAUGGUGAUCAUAACGGUGCUUUGGAGAUGGAGAUCAAAGGCACAAGAUGAUGAUGGCCAUAUCAUAUCACUUAUAUUGAUUGCAUGUGAUGUUUAUCCUUUAUGCAUCUUAUUCUGCUUUGUUUGACGGUAGCAUUAUAAGAUGAUCUCUCACUAAAUUUCAAGGUAAAAGUGUUCUCCAUGAGUAUGCACCGUUGCCAAAGUUCGUCGUGCCGAGACACCACGUGAUGAUCGGGUGUGAUAAGCUCAACGUUCAUCUACAAUGGGUGUAAGACAGUUUUGCACAUGCAGAAUACUCGGGUUAAACUUGACGAGCCUAGCAUAUGCAGAUAUGGCCUCGGAACACUGAGGCCGAAAGGUCGAGCGUGAAUCAUAUAGUAGAUAUGAUCAACAUAGUGAUGUUCACCAUUGAAAACUACUCCAUUUCACGUGAUGAUCGGUUGUGGUUUAGUUGAUAUGGAUCACGUGAUCACUUAGAUUAUUAGAGGGAUGUCUAUCUAAGUGGGAGUUCUUAAGUAAUAUGAUUAAUUGAACUUUAAUUUAUCAUGAACUUAGUCCUGGUAGUAUUAGCAAAUCUAUGUUGUAGAUCAAUAGCUCACGAUGUUGCUCCCCGUUUAUUUUGAUAUGUUCCUAGAGAAAAACUAUGUUGAAAGAUUUUAGUAGCAAUGAUGCGGACUUGGUCCGUGAUCUGAGGAUUAUCCUCAUUGAUGCACAGAAGAAUUAUGUCCUUGAUGCACCGCUAGGUGACGGACCUAUUGCAGGAGCAUAUGCAGACGUUAUGAAUGUUUGGCAAAGCUCGGCAUGAUGACUACUUGAUAGUUUAGUGCACCAUGCUUUACGGCUAAGAAUCGGGGCUUUAAAGACGUUUUGAACGCCACGGAGCAUAUUAGAUGUACCAAGAGUUGAAAUUAGCAUUUCAAACUCAUGCCCAUGUCGAAAGGUGUGAGACCUUUGACAAGUACUUUGCCUACAAGAUGGAGGAGAAUAGCUCAGCUAGUGAGCAUGUGCUCAGAAUGUCUGAGUACUACAAUCACUUGAAUCAAGUCGGAGUUAAUCUUCCAGAUAAGAUAGUGAUUGACAGAGUUCUCUAGUCACUAUCACCAAGUUACUAGAACUUCGUGAUGAACUAUAAUAUGCAAGGGAUAACGAAAACGAUUCCCAAGCUCUUCGUGAUGCUGAAAUAGACGAAGGUAGAAAUCAAGAAAAGUAUCAAGUGUUGAUGGUUGACAAGACCACUAGUUUCAAGAAAAGGGCAAAGGGAAGAAGGAACGGCAAGCAAGUUGCUGCUCCCGUGAAGAAGCCCAAAGCUAGACGCAAGUCUGAAACUGAGUGAUUCUACUGCAAAGGAAAUGGUCACUGGAAGUGGAACUGCCCUAGAUACUUGGCAGAUAAGAAGGAUGGCAAAGUAAACAAAGGUAUAUUGGAUAUACAUGUUAUUGAUGUGUACUUUACUAGUGUUUAUAGCAACUCCUCGGCAUUUGAUACUGAUUCAGUUGCUAAGAGUAGUAACUCGAAACGGGAGUUGCAGAAUGAACAGAAACUAGUUAAGGGCGAGGUGACGAUGUGUGUUGGAAGUAGUUCCAAGAUUGAUAUGAUCAUCAUCGCACACUCCCUAUACUUUCGGGAUUAGUGUUGAACCUAAAUAAGUGUUAUUUGGUGUUUGCGUUGAGCAUGAAUAUGAUUUGAUCAUGUUUAUUGCAAUACGGUUAUUCAUUUAAGUUAGAGAAUAAUUGUUGUUCUGUUUACAUGAAUAAAACCUUCUAUGGUCAUACACCCAAUGAAAAUGGUUUGUUGGGUCUCGAUCGUAGUGAUACACAUAUUCAUAAUAUUGAAGCCAAAAGAUGCAAAGUUAAUAAAGAUAGUGCAACUUAUUUGUGGCACUGUCGUUUAGGUCAUAUUGGUGUAAAGCGCAUGAAUAAACUCCAUGCUGAUGGGAUUUUGGAAUCACUUUAUUAUGAAUCACUUGAUGCUUGCGAACCAUGCCUUAUGGGCAAGAUGACUAAAACUUCGUUCUCCGGAACAAUGGAGCGAGCAACUGACUUAUUGGAAAUAAUACAUACUGAUGUAUGAAAUCCGAUGAGUGUUGAGGCUCGCGGCGGGUAUCGUUAUUUUCUGACCUUCACAGAUGAUUUGAGCAGAUAUGGGUAUAUAUACUUGAUGAAACAUAAGUCUGAAACAUUUGAAAAGUUCAUAUAAUUUCAAAGUGAAGUGGAAAAUCAUCGUAACAAGAAAAUAAAGUUUAUACGAUCUGAUCGCGGAGGGGAAUAUUUGAGUUACGAGUUUGGUCUUCAUUUGAAACAAUGCAGAAUAGUUUCGCAACUCACGCCACCUGUGUGAUGCCCGGAUAAUUAUGCUACAGUAAACCUACGCUAAUGAUGCCACGUCACCUCUGUUAGUGUUGAUAAUCUCGCGUUAGUUCAAAAACCAAUUCAAAUUCAAAAUUAAAUAAAAGGCAAACAACAAAAGUUUUCAAACUUUAAAACUAAAAUGUUCGGGUUGUGCCAAAUAAUGCGUAGGUAAUUAUGGUGGAGAACCACACUUUUAUAAAAAUGUUCAAAUAUUCAAAUGGUAAUAAAACAGUAGCAAAACUAUUAUUUAAAUACUUUAAAUACUCAACAAUUACAAAAUAUUUUAUUUAGGUGCCAAGUUAAUUGUGGCAGUGGACUAAUUAGUAAUACUAAUUUAGGUGCUCAUUUGGCAUUUUACAAAACUAAAAUAAAAUGUAACUAAAAUAAAACAGAAAAGAAACACACACAAAAAUGAAAAAAAAAAACCCGGCCAAUUGGGCUUUGGCCCACCAGGCCGCACCCACCGGGCCGCCAGGCCGGCCCACCCUGCCGCGGACUCCCCCCACUCCCCUUAUCCACUCACCCGNNNNNNNNNNNNNNNNNNNNNNNNNNNNNNNNNNNNNNNNNNNNNNNNNNNNNNNNNNNNNNNNNNNNNNNNNNNNNNNNNNNNNNNNNNNNNNNNNNNNNNNNNNNNNNNNNNNNNNNNNNNNNNNNNNNNNNNNNNNNNNNNNNNNNNNNNNNNNNNNNNNNNNNNNNNNNNNNNNNNNNNNNNNNNNNNNNNNNNNNNNNNNNNNNNNNNNNNNNNNNNNNNNNNNNNNNNNNNNNNNNNNNNNNNNNNNNNNNNNNNNNNNNNNNNNNNNNNNNNNNNNNNNNNNNNNNNNNNNNNNNNNNNNNNNNNNNNNNNNNNNNNNNNNNNNNNNNNNNNNNNNNNNNNNNNNNNNNNNNNNNNNNNNNNNNNNNNNNNNNNNNNNNNNNNNNNNNNNNNNNNNNNNNNNNNNNNNNNNNNNNNNNNNNNNNNNNNNNNNNNNNNNNNNNNNNNNNNNNNNNNNNNNNNNNNNNNNNNNNNNNNNNNNNNNNNNNNNNNNNNNNNNNNNNNNNNNNNNNNNNNNNNNNNNNNNNNNNNNNNNNNNNNNNNNNNNNNNNNNNNNNNNNNNNNNNNNNNNACGCCCUGCCUCGCUCCGGGGACGCGCUCGUCGCGCCCGCGACCUCCCGUGGCCGCGCCCGGAGUUCUUCUCCCCCUGCGCCUGCUCCAUUCCCUCCGCGCCCUGGCCGCACCCACCGGCGCCCAGCCGCGCGUGCCCGUCUCGCUCCACCGUGGCCGUGGUCGCCGACCGGGUUCGCCACCUCGUCGCCUCGGGUCCGCCCGAUGGGUGCCUCGCCUGCAACGGCGCCCGUUGCCCAGCGCCCGCUCGGGUGACACCCGCACCCGAGCGCCCGAACCCGUUAAGGCCCCUAGCCCAAUGACAGGGGGGCCCCGCCCCUAAAACGUUUAAAAAAAGAAUAAAAAAAUAAAAAAAUAUUAAUUAAUUAAUUAACUAAAUUAAUUAACUUAGUUAAUUGAGUUUGAUUAACUUAAUCAAUUAACUAAACUAAUUAAUCAUGAUUAGUUAGUCUAGUGUAUGACAUGCGGGACCCACACAUAGUUGACCCAGUCAACUGCACAGUUGACUGCUGACGUCAGCAUGAUGACAUGCUGACGUCAUCUUUUACUAUUCUGGAUAAUGUUGAUUAAAUUAAUUAAAUAAAUCCUAAAAAUGAUUUAAAUCUUUAAAAAUUAAUAUAAAAUAAUCCGUAGCUCGGAUGAAAAAACUUUGUACAUGAAAGUUGCUCAGAACGACGAGACGAAUCCGAAUACGUAGUUCGUUCGUCCGCCACGCGUCCCUAGCAUAGUGAACCUGCAACAUUUCACCUCCGGUUCAUCUGUCCGAAAACGUGAAACACCGGGGAUAUUUUCCCGGAUGUUUCCCCCCUUCGCCGGUAUCACUUACUACCGCGUUAGGGCAUACCUAGCACCGCGUUUUGCCUCCUUAUGUUUUGUGAUGCUUUGUUUGCUCCGUAUUUACUGUUUUUCCCCCUCUCCUUCUCCGGUAGACUACGAGACCGACGCUGCUGCUACCCAGUUCGGCUACGGAGUUGACGGCCCCUCCUUCUUGCCAGAGCAACCAGGCAAGCCCCCCCUUGAUCACCAGAUAUCGCCUAUUCUUCUCUAUACUGUUUGCAUUAGAGUAGUGUAGCAUGUUACUGCUUCCCGUUAAUCCUAUCCUAAUGCAUAGCCUGUCAUUGUUGCUACAGUUGUUACCCUUACCUGCUAUCCUACUGCUUAGAAUAGGAUGCUAGUUUAUUCCAUCAGUGGCCCUACACUCUUGUCCGUCUGCCAUGCUAUACUACUGGGCCGUGAUCACUUUGGGAGGUGAUCACGGGUAUAUACUAUAUACAUUAUAUACAUGACACAUGUGGUGACUAAAGUCGGGUCGGCUCGAGGAGUACCCGCAAGUUAUUCUGAUGAGGGGGCUGAAAGGACAGGUGGCUCCACCCCGGUAGAGGUGGGCCUGGGUUCCUGACGGCCCCCGACUGUUACUUUGUGGCGGAGCGACAGGGCAGGUUGAGACCACCUAGGAGAGAGGUGGGCCUGGCCCUGGUCGGUGUUCGCAGAUACUUAACACGCUUAACGAGUUCUGGGUAUUUGAUCUGAGUCUGGCCAUUUGGUCUAUACGCACUAACCAUCUACGCGGGAGUAGUUAUGGGUAUCCCGCGUCGUGGUAUCAGCCGAAGCUCUUUUUGACGUCAUCGACUGAGUGGUGCGCGCCGCAUUGGACCGUAAGCUCGCGCUUGUAUUAAGGGGGCUAGGUCUGCUUCCGGCCGCGUACGCAACGUGCAGGUGUGCAUAGGGCGAUGGGCCCAGACCCCUGCGUGCAUAGGGUUUAGACCGGCGUGCUGACCUCUCUGUUGAGCCUAGGUGGGGCUGCGACGUGUUGAUCUUCCGAGGCCGGGCAUGACCCAGAAAAGUGUGUCCGGCCAAAUGGGAUCGAGCGUGUUGGGUUAUGUGGUGCACCCCUGCAGGGAAGUUUAUCUAUUCGAAUAGCCGUGUCCCUCGGUAAAAGGACGACCCGGAGUUGUACCUUGACCUUAUGACAACUAGAACCGGAUACUGAAUAAAAUACACCCUUCCAAGUGCCAGAUACAACCCGGUGAUCGCUCUCUAACAGGGCGAUGAGGAGGGGAUCGCCGGGUAGGAUUAUGCUAUGCGAUGCUACUUGGAGGACUUCAAACUACUCUCUUCUACAUGCUGCAAGAUGGGGAUGGCCAGAAGCGUAGUCUUCGACAGGAUUAGCUAUCCCCCUCUUAUUUUGGCAUUCUGCAGUUCAGUCCACUGAUAUGCCCUUUACACAUAUACCCAUGCAUAUGUAGUGUAGCUCCUUGCUUGCGGGUACUUUGGAUGAGUACUCACGGUUGCCUUUCUCCCUCUUUUCCCCCCUUUCCUUUCUACUUGGUUGUCGCAACCAGAUGCUGGAGUCCAGGAGCCAGACGCCACUGUCGACGACGACUCCUACGACACUGGAGGUGCCUACUACUACGUGCAUCCCGCUGACGACGACCAGGAGUAGUUAGGAGGAUCCCAGGCAGGAGGCCUGCGCCUCAUUCGGUCUGUAUCCCAGUUUGUGCUAGCCUUCUUAAGGCAAACUUGUUUAACUUAUGUCUGUACUCAGAUAUUGUUGCUUCCGCUGACUCGUCUGUGAUCGAGCACUUGUAUUCGAGCCCUCGAGGCCCCUGGCUUGUAUUAUGAUGCUUGUAUGACUUAUUUAUGUUGUAGAGUUGUGUUGUGAUAUCUUCCCGUGAGUCCCUGAUCUUGAUCGUACACAUUUGCAUGCAUGAUUAGUGUACGGUCAAAUCGGGGGCGUCACAACCUGGAACACCACAGCGUAAUGGAGUGUCCGAACAUUGUAACCGUACUUUAUUAGAUAUGGUGCAAUCUAUGAUGUCUCUUACCGAUUUACCACUAUCAUUUUGUGGUUAUGCAUUAGAGACAGCUGCAUUCACGUUAAAUAGGGCACCAUCUAAAUCCGUUGAGACGACACCAUAUGAACUGUGGUUUGGCAAGAAACCAGAGUUGUCGUUUCUUAAAGUUUGGGGUUGCGAUGCUUAUGUGAAAAGGUUUCAUCUUUAUAAGCUCGAACCCAAAUCGGAGAAAUGUGUGUUCAUAGGAUACCUAAAGGAGACUGUUGGAUACACCUUCUAUCACAGGUCCGAAGGCAAGACAUUCGUUAUUAAGAAUGGAUCCUUUCUAGAGAAGGAGUUUCUCUCGAAAGAAGUGAGUGGGAGGAAAGUAGAACUUGAUGAGGUAAUUGUACCUGCUCUCUUAUUGGAAAGUAGUUCAUCACAGAAAUCUGUUCAUGUGACUCCUACACCAAUUAGUGAGGAAGCUAAUGAUGAUGAUCAUAUAACUUCAGAUCAAGGUACUACCGAACCUCGUAGGUCAACCAGAGUAAGAUCCGCACCAGAGUGGUACGGUAAUCCUGUUCUGGAGGUCAUGUUACUUGACCAUGACGAACCUACGAACUAUGAGAAAGCGAUGAUGAGCCCAGAUUCCGCAAAAUGGCUUGAGGCCAUGAAAUCUGAGAUGGGAUCCAUGUAUGAGAACAAAGUGUGGACUUUGGUUGACUUCCCCGAUGAUCGGCAAGCCAUAGAAAAUAAAUGGAUCUUCAAGAAGAAGACUGACGCUGACGGUAAUGUUACUGUCUACAAAGCUCGACUUGUUGCGAAAGGUUUUCAACAAGUUCAAGGGGUUGACUACGAUGAGACUUUCUCACCCGUAGCUAUGCUUAAGUCUGUCCGAAUCAUGUUAGAAGUUGCCGCAUUCUAUGAUUAUGAAAUUUGGCAAAUGGAUGUCAAAACUGCAUUCAUGAAUGGAUUUCUAGAAGAAGAGUUGUAUAUGAUGCAACCAGAAGGUUUUGUCGAUCUUAAAGGUGCUACCAAAAUGUGCAAGCUCCAGCAAUCCAUCUAUGGACUGGUGCAAGCAUCUCGGAGUUGGAAUAUACGCUUUGAUGAGUUGAUCAAAGCAUAUAGUUUUAUACAGGCUUGCGGUGAAGCCUGUAUUUACAAGAAAGUGAGUGGGAGCACUACACCAUUUCUGAUAAGUAUAUGUAAAUGACAUAUUGUUAAUCGAAAAUAAUGUAGAAUUUUCUGGAAAGCAUAAAGGAGUAUUUGAAAGGAGUUUUUCAAAGAAAUACCUCGGUGAAGCUGCUUACAUAUUGAGCAUCAAGAUCUAUAGAGAUAGAUCAAGACGCUUGAUAAGUUUUUUCAAUGAGUACAUACCUUGACAAGUUUUUGAAGUAGUUAAAGAAAGAGUUCUUGCCUGUGUUGCAAGGUGUGAAGUUGAGUAAGACUCAAAGCCCGACCACGACAGAAGAUAGAAAGAGAAUGAAAGUCAUUCCCUAUGCCUCAACCAUAGGUUCUAUAAAGUAUGUCAUGUUGUGUACCAGAUCUAUUGUAUACCCUACACUGAGUUUAGCAAGGGAGUACAAUAGUGAUCUAGGAGUAGAUCACUGGAUAGCGGUCAAAAUUAUCCUUAGUGGAAUAAGGAUAUGUUUCUCGAUUAUGGAGGUGACAAAAGGUUCGUCGUAAAGGGUUACGUCGAUGCAAGUUUUGAUGUUGAUCCAGAUGACUCUAAGUCUCAAUCUGGAUGCAUAUUGAAAGUGGGAGCAAUUAGCUAGAGUAGCUCCGUGCAGAGCAUUGUUGACAUAGAAAUUUGCAAAAUACAUACGGAUCUGAAUGUGGCAGACCCGUUGACUAAACUUCUCUCACAAGCAAAACAUGAUCACACCUUAGUACUCUUUGGGUGUUAAUCAUAUGGCGAUGUGAACUAGAUUACUGACUCUAGUAAACCCUUUGAGUGUUGGCCACAUGGCGAUGUGAACUAUGGGUGUUAAUCACAUGGUGAUGUGAACUAUUGGUAUUAAAUCACAUGACGAUGUGAACCAGAUUAUUGACUCUAGUGCAAGUGGGAGACUGAAGGAAAUAUGCCCUAGAGGCAAUAAUAAAGUUAUUAUUUAUUUCCUUAUUUCAUGGUAAAUGUUUAUUAUUCAUGUUAGAAUUGUAUUAACCGGAAAUAUAAUACAUGUGUGAAUACAUAGACAAACAUAGUGUCACUAGUAUGCCUCUACUUGACUAGCUCGUUGAUCAAAGAUGGUUGAGUUUCCUAGCCAUAGACAUGACUUGUCAUUUGAUUAACGGGAUCGCAUCAUUAGGAAUGAUGUGAUUGACUUGACCCAUUUCGUUAGCUUAGCACUCGAUCGUUUAGUAUGUUGCUAUUGCUUUCUUCAUGACUUAUACAUGUUCCUAUGACUAUGAGAUUAUGCAACUCCCGUUUACCGGAGGAACACUUUGUGUGCUACCAAACGUCACAACGUAACUGGGUGAUUAUAAAGGUGCUCUACAGGUGUCUUCGAUGGUGUUCGUUGAGUUGGCAUAGAUCGAGAAUAGGAUUUGUCACUCCGAUCGUCGGAGAGGUAUCUCUGGGCUCUCUCGGUAAUGCACAUCACUAUAAGCCUUGCAAGCAAUGUGACUAAUGAGAUAGUUGCGGGAUGAUGCAUUACGGAACGAGUAAAGAGACUUGCCGGUAACGAGAUUGAGCUAGGUAUUGAGAUACCGACGAUCGAAUCUCGGGCAAAUAACAUACCGAUGACAAAGGGAACAAUGUAUGUUGUUAUGCGAUUUGACCGAUAAAGAUCUUCGUAGAAUAUGUAGGAACCAAUAUGAGCAUCCAGGUUCCGCUAUUGGUUAUUGACCGGAGACGUGUCUCGGUCAUGUCUACAUAGUUCUCGAACCCGUAGGGUCCGCACGCUUAACGUUCGGUGACGAUCAGUAUUAUGAGUUUAUGUGUUUUGAUGUACCGAAGGUAGUUCGGAGUCCCACAUGACAUCGGGGACAUGACGAGGAGUCUCGAAAUGGUCGAGACGUAAAGAUCGAUAUAUUGGACCACUAUAUUCGGACAUCGGAAAGGUUCCGAGUGGUUCGGGUAUUUAUCGGAGUACCGGAGAGUUACGGGAAUUCGUCGGGGAGUAUAUGGGCCUUAUUGAGAUCUAGGGGAAAGAGAGAAGGGAGGUUGCGCGUCCCCCCAAGGCCUAGUCCGAAUUGGACUAGGGGGAGGGGCGGCGCCCCCUCCUUCCUUCUCUUCUCUUUUCCCUUUCCUUCUCUCCUACUCCUACUACAUGGAAGGGGGGGAAUCCUACUACCGGUGGGAAUAGGACUCCUCCAGGGCGCACCAUAGCUAGGCCGGCCCUCCCCCCUCCUCCACUCCUUUAUAUACGUGGUCAGGGGGCACCCCAUAGACACACAAGUUGAUCAUUGAUCUCUCUUAGCCGUUUGCAGUGUCCCCCUCCACCAUAAUCCACUUCGGUCGUAUCGUAGUGGUGCUUAGGCGAAGCCCUGCGUCGGUAGCUUCAUCAACACCGUCACCACGCCGUCGUGCUGACGAAGCUCUUCCUCGAAGCUCUACUGGAUCAUGAGUUCGCGGAACGUCACCGAGCUGAACGUGUGCUGAACACGGAGGUGUCGUACGUUCGGUACUGAGGAUCGGUCGAUCGUGAAGACGUACGGCUACAUCAACCACGUUGUCAUAACGCUUCCGCUUACGGUCUACGAGGGUACGUAGAUGACACUCUCCCCUCUCGUUGCUAUGCAUCACCAUGAUCUUGCGUGUACGUAGGAAUUUUUUUGAAAUUACUACGUUCCCCAACAGUGUCGCCCUGGCAUGAACGCUGACUGGGUCGGUCUCACCACUUUCGUGAAUAUUUUGAAACUUACAUUUAGAAGACAAGUUGGUCGAAACUGCUGAAUCUUAAUAGCAUCUUCCUUCUUAGGAAGAAGGGUAAUAAUACCAAAAUUUAACUUAUACAAAGCUAAAUUCUCAUUAUAUAAUUCAGCAAAUAUAGGCAAAAAGUCGCCUUUUAUGACCGUCCAGAACAUCUGAUAGAACUCCGCCGGGAACCCAUCUGGUCCCAUCCGCUGAAAGAGAAAAAGAAAAAAUUAGACCAAUUCAUUAUGUUGACCUGAAGGACAAAGAAAGUAACACCCCAGAUCUACUGUCCAGACUCACAUACCUCAGUGACAGGACAAGAUAUGCCAAGAUGGACGACAGUGGGGCUGAGGAACCCCACUUCCCUCUACUCCCGCCUACGCCUGCAUGUGUAAGUAGCUUGGGAGCUUCGAACACUGUUUUUUUCACCUGGAUUUUCAUUAAAAAAAGAGGCCAAUAUACCUCGAGAGGUACACACACAGAGAGAGAGGGUGCAACACUGUUUUUUCUCUCUUCUGCAUCAACUGUAUAGUCUGUCUAACUAUGGGCGUGUUCGGAUGCUCUCCGCUCCCGGAGUUGGUGGAGCGACGCCGAACAGGUAAACUCCGUGGAGUAGAAAACGGGGAGUGGAGCUGGUUACAGGCGAAAAAUGCGGAGCUACUAUUUCUGAGGUCUCAGAUCUUUAAAUCAAGGAGUUGAUAAGAUUUACGAAGAAACUGCCACCGCCAAGUGAAAACGGUUCGCGACCCACGCCCAGCUCGCUCGUUCCUGUUUCUCUGCCGAGCUCCACGUGAAUAGGGAGCAGAGUUGCUUGCCGAACAUCUCGUACUAGCGCUAUUUUCUACACGGAGUGGCAUUUCUGGUGGAGAAGCGGGAGUUGAGGAUUCAGAGGAGCUGGAGCAUCUCCGCCCUAUAUAUGAGAUUUGUGAUUUUCAGAAGUGUCAUUUUAUAACGGAGGCUUCCACAUAUUUUCGUCUUGGUUUGUGCACAGCCAAGAAAAACUUCUUACAUAUAAAUUUAGCCCAAAAGAUAGCAGUAAACCAAUCCAGAUAUGUCGCGAACAUUUUCUAAUUUCCUAAUUGUUUUUGAAUUUCUGAAUUAAAUCUGAAAAUGGGGAGAAUUUUUGAAAUUCUAAAUAGUUUUCGAAAAGCAAGAACUAUUUUUGAAAUUUCCAAAAAAAUCAAAAACACAAUUAUUUUUAAUUUGUGAACAAAAUUUGAAAACAGAAACAUGUUUUGAAUUUUUCAAACAUUUGUUAACAUUUUAAACAAUAUUGGAAUGCCAAAAAAUUUAAUUUUUUAAAAGAAACUUGAAAAGGAAAAGAAGUAAAAAAAAGGAAAAGGAAAAAAACCAUAAAAACCAGGUACAAUUAGAAAACAGUUUAGGAACCUUCUAGACGGUUUCCCAAAGCGGUCAGGUUGGGAGCACCUAUUGGACGCUCUUUGCAUCCAACAGCGCGCUGCCGCACAGACAGACCCACAACUGGGCCGGCCCACGAACAGGAAACAAACGAGAGCGCGACAUAAAAAAAACAGGAAACGAACAUGGCGCUGACAGGUGUCGAACUUGCAACUUUUGAUUCACAACGUUCGCAACCAGCCACUAGAACAUACAGCUGUUUCUGCUAUAACUGAAGCGCGAUUUGUUUCUUAAUCUCACUAAAGUGGCACCUUAAAAACAAUCUUCACAAAAUUUCGAACGUUUCUUGAAAAUUUACGAAAACAACUAAAUGUCAAAUUUUGUUCUAAAAAUGAUAAUAUUUUUGUAAUUCCAAACAAUUUUUUAUUCUGCAUAUUUUUUGAAAAUCGUGAAAACCUGAACAUUUUCUAUUUGUGAAUUUUUUCAAAAAAAGAAAACAAUUUUCGAAAAUCUAAACAAAAUUAGAAAACACGAACAUAUUUUUAAAUCCGCAAACAUUUUUUUAAUUCACAAACAUAUUUUAUAUCAAUGAACAGAUUUUUAUCUAUGAACAAUUUUAGAAAAUGAGAAUAUUUUCAUUGGGAAACACAAACAAGUUUCGAAGUUCUAAACAAAAUUAAAAAAUGAGAACAAAAAUUAACCUCUGGAAAGAUUUUUUUAAAAUACAAACAAAUUUUGAAACACUGAAAUUUUUGAAAACAUGAAUAAUUUUUGAAAUUCUGAAUAUUUAUUGAAAUUGUGAACAAAAUUUGAAACUCUGGACAUUUUAUAAAAACCUGAAGAAAAUUUAGGAAAACAAUAAAAUGACAAAUUUUGUACCGAAAACGAUAAUAUUUUCAUAAUUCCAACCAAUUUUGUACUAUGUAUAUUUUUUGAAAAUCGUGAAAUCCCAAAAAGUAUUUGAUUUGUGAUUUUUUCAGAAAAAGGAAAUAGUUUUCGAAAUUCCACAAAAUUAGAAAACACGAACAUAUUUUGAAAUCUGCGAACAUUUUAAAUUUCGCAUACAUCUUUUAUAUCUAUGAACAACUUUUGAUCUAUGAACAAUUUUAGUAAACGAGAACAUUUUUAUUGGAAAACACAAUCAAACUUUGAAAAAUAAAACAAGUUUCGAAGUUCUAAACAAAAUUUAAAAAAUGAGAACAAAAAUUAACCACCGGAAUUUUUUUAGAAAAUUUAAACAAAUUUUGAAACACUGAAUUUUUUGAAAACAUGAAUAAUUUUUUUAAUUCAGAACAUUUAUUGAAAUUGUGAACAAAAUUUGAAACUCUGGACAUUUUAUGAAAACCUGAAGAAAAUUUAGGAAAACAAUAAAAUGCCAAAUUUUGUUCCGAAAACGAUAAUAUUUUUGUAAUUCCAACCAUUUUUGUACUCCGCAUAUUUUUUGAAAAUCGUGAAAUCCCAAAAAGUAUUUGAUUUGCGAUUUUUUUCCAAAAAAAGGAAACAAUUUUCGAAAUUCCAAACAAAAUUAGAAAACAUGAACAUAUUUUGAAAUCUGCAAACAUUUUUAAUUUCGCAAACAUCUUUUAUAUCUAUGAACAACUUUUGAUCUAUGAACAAUUUUAGUAAAUGAGAACAUUUUUAUUGGAAAACACAAACAAACUUUGAAAAAUUAGAUCAAAUUUUGAAAUUCUAAACAAAUGUCUAAAAAUGAGAACAAAAAAUAACAUUCCGAACAAUUUUUCAGAAACACAAACAAAUUUUGAAACACUAAUUUUUUUGAAAACAUGAACAAUUGUUGAAAUUUAGAACAUUUUUUUACAUUUGAACGAAAUUUGAAACUCUGAACAUUUUAUGAAAACAUUGAGAAUACAUGAUGAUUUUAUGAAAACAUGAAGAAUACAUGAUGAUUUUAUGAAAACAUGAAGAAUACAUGAACAUUUUUUGAAAUGCAAGAAACUUUUUAAUACACUAAAAUAUUUUGAAUAUGUGAACAUUUUUUUUGGUAACACAGACAAUCUUGUAAAAAAUAGAACAUAUUUUGAAAUUACCACACUUUUUUUGAAUUUGUGAACUAAAUUGCGAAAUGGGAAUAUUUAUUAAAAUUAAGAAACAUAUUUUGGAUUUGUGAACAAAAGUUUGAAACGAGAACAUAUUUUGAAAUUUAGUAACAUUUUCGGAUUUUAUGAACCAAUUGUUUCAUAAUGUUAACAUUUUCUGAAGUCCUAAAUUUUUUAUGGAUUUGUGAAUUUUUUUUAUAUCCCAACUUUGUUGGAAAAGAAAAAAACGAAAAAAAAGACAGAAAAAGAAAGAAAGAAACAGAAGCAGAAAAACGAAAAAAGAAAAAACUGUACAAGGAACCUUCUAAACGUUUCCCAAAACUAGAAAAAACGGCUGGGAAUCUUCUAGAACUUUCACAAAAUCGGAACUCCCAAGCGAUUGAAACAGUGGGAGAUGGGCCCGCCCAUGUGGUUGCGCACCUGUGCGAUUACCCGACACUGACGCAGAGAGCGUCCAAUAGGGUUUUGGGGGUCCCUAGCUGACGCUCGCGAGCGUCAAUCUGACGUACUUUCGCGCAGGGUGCGGUCUUAACGGGCCAGCCCAUUCCGUGGCGUUCAUAUCGAGUCGCUACUUAAAAUCCAUAAAAAUGGACGCAUUCUUGAGGAAUCGAACUCGCCACCACACGAUACAAAAUACCUGUUCCUUACCAGUUGAGCUUGCAAGUUUCAAUGUCUUUUAGACUGCGCGCGUAUUUAAGAACUAGAUACAGAGGUAGAUAAAAAAAGCCACUAAAAAAAGGUAGAUAAAAGAAAGAUCGAAUUUUGAACCAUUUACUAUUUUCAAAUAUACAUUUAAUAUACUUUGAUAUACGAUGACCAAUAUUUAAAUACACAUUGAACAUAUUUUUAUAUAUGCUGAACAAUAUAUAUAUUGAACUUUUUUAGAUAUAUACACUGAACAAUUUUUCACACAAUGAUCAUUUUUUCAAUAUACAUUGAACAAUAUUUAAAUACACAUUGAACAAUUUUUGUGAUAUACGCUGAACAAUUUUUGCAUUGUGCACAAAUUUCGAAAAAGUGAAAAGAAUUUGAUAACUGUGAACAAUUUCCGAAAUCAUGAACAAAAAUUAGAAUAUCCAAUAGUUUUUGAAAACAAAGGUUAAAAAAUGAAAAAAGGUAGAAUAAAGUGGGAAAACAAAGAAAUAGGAGCAGAAACUAAAGAGGAAAAAGGAAAAAAAAUACAGGAAAGAGAAAAAAAGGAAAAUGGCAAAAGAAAAAAAAAGGAAAAACCGAUUGAGGGAACCUUCCAGAAGGUUCCCAAAACCGGUUUGCCUCGCAGUGCUAUUAGCGCUCGCAGUGGGCCGGCCGUUUCGCGGUGCUCGCUCGCCUGCUUCAGCGGAAUUGCAGCAGUUCGACGGACGCGCGCGAGAGCUCCUGUUCGGCGCCUUAAGCGCCCGAACAGGUAGCUGGCGCCCGCGCGCCCCACCGCAUGGGCCGGCCCAGCAAGCUGCAAAAAAGCAAUUCGUGCAGGAAAGGAAAAAGCGUGAGAACCGAGAUUCGAACUGCAACCACCAAUGUGAAUGCCUACAAGCGUUACCGCUGGGACACCCUCAGUUAGUUGAUUACUAGUGGAACAAAAUCUCAUUUGGCCACUCAUUCAGUACAAACCGUGAAUUUGAAUAAGUAUAAUAUAUACAAGUAUUAUAUAUCCACUAUACUAAUUUGAAUAAAGAAAACAUAAAUUUGAAAAGGCAUUCAUAAAAACUGUGAAUUGAAAGAAAUCAAAUAUUUUCAAAAAGGUUUGUACCAAUGGGAAAAAAUUCGCAAAAAGGAAAAAUUUCAUGAAUUUUAAAAAAGUUCAUCAAAUUUGAAAAAAAGCUCAUUGAAUCUGAUUAAAGUUCAUCAAAAAUUUUAAAAGGUUCAUCAAAUUGGAAAAAAAGUUCAUCCAAUCUGAAAAAAAGUUCAUCGGAUUUUGAAAAAAGUUGAUCGAAUCUGAAAAAAGUUCAUCGUAUCUGAAAAAAGUUCACAAAAUUAUAAAAAGGUUCAUUAUUUUUGAAAAAAGUGCAUAAAUUCUGAAAAAGGUUCACAAAAAAUUGAAGAAAGUUCAUCGAUUUUGAAAAAAAGUUCACUAAUUUUGAAAAAAAAUUCAUCAAUUUUGAAAAGGUUCACGAAUUUAAGAAAAGAAAAAAGAAAAAUGAAAAAGGAAAGGAACGAAAGUAGAAAUAAAAUGAAAGCGAGAAGUUAUCAAACAAGGUCGUUGUGGCCGCCUGGUUAGUCGACUUACUCGAGUAAGUCACCACGCCCGUGUUUUUGCAGAAAUUGCAGUUUUAACACACACAAAAAAUCUAUAACGGGCUGGCCCAGGUCGGAGUUGGGGGUGUGCGCCGGUUUGCGAUUAACACAGUAACGGGCGCAGCGGGCGCCAAAUAGGAAACAGCCACGCGCGCGUCAAAUAGGGUUCGCCUAGGGUUUUCCCAGGAACCUUUCCUGAACCGAGAUCGGUCGAACACUUUACGGGCCGGCCCAGAACGCUCGCUCGGUGGUCUCGAAGCGUCGAUAAGUCGAUAAAAAGAGCGCGAAUGCUAUUUGUUGCAGUAAGCAAGCCGGUAACUCUCUCGCUGCGACCUUGACCAGUAACUGGCCGGCCCACUUGCGCACCCUUCGAAGGAAAAUACCGAAAAAAAAGGGAGUAGCACGGGGGGAGGGGGUGUUCGAACCGUGGCUGCUAAAACAAUUUUCACCACGGCUAGCCACCUGCUACAGUCGGGUUUGUGAACACAUAAUAGUGCGGGACGUAGUUGAGGCGAACUUAGCCCGAGUUUCAUUGGUUUUUUCUUUUUUUUUGUUUUUUGACAGGGUUUUCUUUGUUUUUGUUUUUGUUCCUUUUUUAUUAUUCAUUUUUUUCCUUUUUCUUCUCCACUUUUUUGGUUUUAUUUUUCUUCUCCNNNNNNNNNNNNNNNNNNNNNNNNNNNNNNNNNNNNNNNNNNNNNNNNNNNNNNNNNNNNNNNNNNNNNNNNNNNNNNNNNNNNNNNNNNNNNNNNNNNNNNNNNNNNNNNNNNNNNNNNNNNNNNNNNNNNNNNNNNNNNNNNNNNNNNNNNNNNNNNNNNNNNNNNNNNNNNNNNNNNNNNNNNNNNNNNNNNNNNNNNNNNNNNNNNNNNNNNNNNNNNNNNNNNNNNNNNNNNNNNNNNNNNNNNNNNNNNNNNUUUUUUCACUCUACAUUUUUGUAUAUGUCAAAAAAAAUUAAUAAGUGAUCAAUAUUUUUUGUAUACACGUUCAACAUUGUCCAAAUUUCAAAUACUUGUUCAACAUUUUUUCGAAUACAUGUUCAUCAUAUUUCAAAUACUCAUUCAACAUUGUUUUAAUACUUAUUCAAAAAAAUUCAACUUCUUGUUCAACAUUUUUAAUGCUUAUUCAACAUUAUAAAAUCCUUGUUCAAAAUUUUUCAAAUACUCAUUCAACAUUUUUAAUACUUAUUCAACAUUUGAAAAUACUUGUUCAACAUUUUUCAAAUACUCGUUCUACAUUUUUUUUAAUACUUAUUCAACAUUUGUCAAAUACUUGUUCAACAUCUUUAAUACUUUAUUCAACACUUUCAAAUACUUUCUUAACGUUUUUAAUACCUAUUCAAUUUUUCAAAUACUUGUUCAACAAUUUUUUUAAUAUUUUUUAGAAAUUGUUUUGUGUGUGUGUGUGUGUGUGUGUGUCUAUAUAUAUAAGUACAAAAAUAAAGCAAAAAACGAGAACACAGAAAAAAAACAUAAAAACAGGCCUUUGCAUCCCGCGCAGCUGGGCCUUCCCAUCUGGGCUCCCCCCGACGCGAGCCGCCAGGUGUAAGGCGAUAAAUAGGGGUUCCCCGCAAAGAGCGGCGAAUAGGAAAUUUCGCAGUAAUGCUACACUCACGGUGGGAUUUUUACGGACUUCACGGGGUAGCAAACAUGGGGGAUUANNNNNNNNNNNNNNNNNNNNNNNNNNNNNNNNNNNNNNNNNNNNNNNNNNNNNNNNNNNNNNNNNNNNNNNNNNNNNNNNNNNNNNNNNNNNNNNNNNNNNNNNNNNNNNNNNGAUUAGAUGGAACAACCCCGUAUUAGUCCCGUAAAAGCCCGUGAGUCUACCAUUUUCGGAAAUUUCGUAUAUCAUGGGGAUGCCUUUUAGGUUUCCGUGGCACUUUAUGGAUAGUGGGCUGGCCCAAGUACGUAAGUGAAAAGGCCACUACAGCUUUUAAAUGCAAAUGAUCCAUCUCUCUCUCUCUCUCUAAAGAAAUUGAAAGAAAUCCCAAUCAAUUAUGAAAAAAAUCGCAACUUUCCCAAUAAAAAAACUUACUGCGAUCAUUGUAAAAAAUGUGUACUGGAAAUAAUCUGUACUCGCCAAAGUAAUAAGAAUGUACAUAUGCACGUCGAUGCUAUUUCCUUGCUUCUACUUGUUUUCAGCAUCUUCCAGAAAUUAAAGUUUCUUCUUUUUCAGUACCCUAAUUCUUCCAUAUAUUUGCAAAAGGAAGCGAAAUAUAGCAGCAACGUGCAUAAACAUGCAGCAUCCUAAUAUCUAUAUAAAAUAAAAUGUAAGAUGACUAAGAAUUACACACAAGGUGUGGCCGCUCUUCCUAUUUUCACACGUUUUUUUUGCUAGCCUUUCUAUUUUCACAUGUCAUUUGCACUGCCCUAAAUUCGCAUACACACAAACAAAAGAGUUGCACUAUCCCUGUUUUCUUGUGGGUACUCAGUUAUUACACUACCCCACAAGUUGCUCAAAAAACAGCUAUUAAACUACCCUACAAAAGCAGGUAGUCACUUAACACUGCCCUACAAAUAUAUGUUCGCUUAGCCUGGAAGCAAGAAAGAUAUAUGCGUGUCACUGCAAGUAUAUAACAAGCCCCCCUCCCUCCUCUACAUCCAUCCAUCGUAAAAUCCAUUUUGAAGGUCUUAAUCUUUCACAUGUUUUUUUUUUGCUAGCCUUUCUAUUUUCACAUGUCAUUUGCACUGCCCUAAAUUCACGCACACACAAACAAAAGAGUUGCACUAUCCCUGUUUUCUUGUGGGUACUCAGUUAUUACACUACCCUAAAAGUUGCUAAAAAUAGUUAUUACACUACCCUACAAAAGCAGGUAGUCACUUACACCACCCUACAAAAAUCUGCUCGCUUAGCCUGGAAGCAAGAAAGAUAUACGUGUGUUACUGCGAGUAUAUAACAAGCCCCCCUCCCUCCUCUACACUCAUCCAUCAUACAAUCCACCUUGAAGGUCUUAAUCUAUCAUACAACCCUCUUAGACUCUUAGUCUCUCACAAGAAACUAAAUGGAUCGGUCCAUGAAGGUCUUUGUGGUCGUCUUCCUGCUUCUUGUGGCCACAGGUAUAUAUGCUGUACUAUUUAAGAUAACUGUAAAUUCUGCUAUAGUUUAUGAGUAUACGUGAGAUGACUGAUUUGCUCUAUCAAUUUGCCCGUGUAGGGUUCCAGGGAGCAGUGCAGGUAGCUUUGGCGAGGGAUUGUAGGUCACAGAGCAAAACGUUUGUGGGGCUGUGCGUGAGCGACACCAACUGUGCAAGUGUUUGCCUGACCGAGCAUUUCCCCGGAGGCAAGUGCGACGGCUAUCGGCGAUGUUUCUGCACCAAGGACUGCUAGAUGGCCUUGUUUUCUUCUCGCUUACAUGCUUCCGUGUAAUAAUAACUGAAUAAUACUAGAUCUGAAUCUAUGCAUGUAUGAUGCAUAUGUGAGUGCUACUCCUAGAAGUACAUGCACAUCAUAUAAUCCGAACAAAGUUUCAGCGGGGAACCAGUUCAAGUUGAAUAAUCCAACACUCCGGAACUGGAGCUGCUACCGUUUUCAGGGUUGAAACGAAUAUAAGCUUAAAAACUGGAAAAUGAGACAUGAAGUUUGACUAGGAGGGAAGCAAUUUUUGUAAGAAAGAAAAGUGAAGCGUGGAAGUAGACCUCGCACCACACCUGAAGAUUUG